GAAGAUGACCGGCCUUUGGACGUCGGCGAUGUGCUGGAAGUGUUCAGAGCCGUUGAUCUGGUUCAAAUUGUUUUAAUCUCACACGUUGGUUUUGAUUACCAUUCCUAUGGCGCAUUGACUUAAGUUCACGAUGGAAAGCGCGUUGAGGACCACUUGAUCAGCCACCUCAAUAAAUGAGGGAGACCAAGUGGUCCAUGUUUUUUUUGUUAUUUU
RNAcentral lists this long non-coding RNA (213 nucleotides) under Lathyrus oleraceus (garden pea). RNAcentral describes it as "Pisum sativum (pea) long non-coding RNA (PSAT_LNC037138)". The record is from RNAcentral. Lineage: Eukaryota; Viridiplantae; Streptophyta; Magnoliopsida; Fabales; Fabaceae.